RNAcentral lists this transfer RNA (76 nucleotides) under Planctomycetota bacterium. Its description in RNAcentral is "tRNA-Ala". It matches the Rfam family "tRNA". Rfam says of the family: Transfer RNA (tRNA) molecules are approximately 80 nucleotides in length. The record is from RNAcentral. Lineage: Bacteria; Pseudomonadati; Planctomycetota. RNAcentral also lists the same sequence under 1 other name.
GGGCCUGUAGCUCAGUUGGGAGAGCGCUGCGUUCGCAAUGCAGAGGUCAGGAGUUCAAGUCUCCUCAGGUCCACCA